AUGAACGCUGGCGGCGUGCCUAAUACAUGCAAGUCGAGCGAACAGACGAGGAGCUUGCUCCUCUGACGUUAGCGGCGGACGGGUGAGUAACACGUGGAUAACCUACCUAUAAGACUGGGAUAACUUCGGGAAACCGGAGCUAAUACCGGAUAAUAUAUUGAACCGCAUGGUUCAAUAGUGAAAGACGGUUUUGCUGUCACUUAUAGAUGGAUCCGCGCCGCAUUAGCUAGUUGGUAAGGUAACGGCUUACCAAGGCAACGAUGCGUAGCCGACCUGAGAGGGUGAUCGGCCACACUGGAACUGAGACACGGUCCAGACUCCUACGGGAGGCAGCAGUAGGGAAUCUUCCGCAAUGGGCGAAAGCCUGACGGAGCAACGCCGUGUGAGUGAUGAAGGUCUUCGGAUCGUAAAACUCUGUUAUUAGGGAAGAACAAAUGUGUAAGUAACUAUGCACGUCUUGACGGUACCUAAUCAGAAAGCCACGGCUAACUACGUG
RNAcentral lists this ribosomal RNA (496 nucleotides) under uncultured bacterium. RNAcentral describes it as "partial 16S ribosomal RNA". It matches the Rfam family "Bacterial small subunit ribosomal RNA", at positions 29 to 507 of the family's 1533-position model. The record is from RNAcentral.